This 308-nucleotide ribosomal RNA is filed under the name uncultured bacterium. Its description in RNAcentral is "bacterial SSU rRNA". It matches the Rfam family "Bacterial small subunit ribosomal RNA", at positions 28 to 339 of the family's 1533-position model. The record is from RNAcentral.
GACGAACGCUGGCGGCGUGCUUAACACAUGCAAGUCGAGCGGUAAGGCCCUUUCGAGGGUACACGAGCGGCGAACGGGUGAGUAACACGUGGGUGACCUGCCCUCAGCUCUGGGAUAAGCCCGGGAAACUGGGUCUAAUACUGGAUAUUACUCUGCGGUGCAUGCCGUGGGGUGGAAAGCCUUGUGCGGCUGGGGAUGGGCCCGCGGCCUAUCAGCUUGUUGGUGGGGUGGUGGCCACCAAGGCGGCGACGGUAGCCGGCCUGAGAGGGCGACCGGCCACACUGGGACUGAGACACGGCCCAGACUCC